RNAcentral lists this non-coding RNA (24 nucleotides) under Arabidopsis thaliana (thale cress). Lineage: Eukaryota; Viridiplantae; Streptophyta; Magnoliopsida; Brassicales; Brassicaceae. The record is from RNAcentral.
AUACCCACUACUUGCUAACAAUGU